AACGAACGCUGGCGGCAUGCCUAACACAUGCAAGUCGAACGAAGCCUUCGGGCUUAGUGGCGCACGGGUGCGUAACGCGUGGGAAUCUGCCCUUAGGUACGGAAUAACUCAGGGAAACUUGUGCUAAUACCGUAUGAUGUCGAGAGACCAAAGAUUUAUCGCCUAGGGAUGAGCCCGCGUAGGAUUAGCUAGUUGGUGGGGUAAAGGCCCUACCAAGGCGACGAUCCUUAGCUGGUCUGAGAGGAUGAUCAGCCACACUGGGACUGAGACACGGCCCAGACUCCUACGGGAGGCAGCAGUGGGGGAAUAUUGGACAAUGGGCG
Molecule: ribosomal RNA, 323 nt
Filed under: uncultured bacterium
Lineage: Bacteria
Description: bacterial SSU rRNA
Rfam family: Bacterial small subunit ribosomal RNA
Source: RNAcentral